RNAcentral lists this ribosomal RNA (253 nucleotides) under uncultured bacterium. RNAcentral describes it as "partial 16S ribosomal RNA". It matches the Rfam family "Bacterial small subunit ribosomal RNA", at positions 524 to 776 of the family's 1533-position model. The record is from RNAcentral.
UACGAAGGGGGCUAGCGUUGCUCGGAAUGACUGGGCGUAAAGGGCGCGUAGGCGGAUGGUACAGUCAGAUGUGAAAUUCCUGGGCUUAACCUGGGGGCUGCAUUUGAUACGUGUUGUCUAGAGUGAGGAAGAGGGUCGUGGAAUUCCCAGUGUAGAGGUGAAAUUCGUAGAUAUUGGGAAGAACACUGGUGGCGAAGGCGGCGACCUGGUCCUUUACUGACGCUGAGGCGCGAAAGCGUGGGGAGCAAACAGG